GUUUUGCGUUAGGGAUUGAUGCGGCAUCCUUUUUUAUGAAUUCGACUGCCAAAGCAGUAGUAUUAAUAGAAAAAGAUAUAGCGGAAAGCCCGACCCGAA
RNAcentral lists this small RNA (99 nucleotides) under Algibacter lectus. RNAcentral describes it as "Flavo-1 RNA". It matches the Rfam family "Flavo-1 RNA". The record is from Rfam by way of RNAcentral. Lineage: Bacteria; Pseudomonadati; Bacteroidota; Flavobacteriia; Flavobacteriales; Flavobacteriaceae.